Molecule: ribosomal RNA, 253 nt
Filed under: Escherichia coli
Lineage: Bacteria; Pseudomonadati; Pseudomonadota; Gammaproteobacteria; Enterobacterales; Enterobacteriaceae
Description: partial 16S ribosomal RNA
Rfam family: Bacterial small subunit ribosomal RNA
Source: RNAcentral
CUCAGGUGCGAAAGCGUGGGGAGCAAACAGGAUUAGAUACCCUGGUAGUCCACGCCGUAAACGAUGUCGACUUGGAGGUUGUGCCCUUGAGGCGUGGCUUCCGGAGCUAACGCGUUAAGUCGACCGCCUGGGGAGUACGGCCGCAAGGUUAAAACUCAAAUGAAUUGACGGGGGCCCGCACAAGCGGUGGAGCAUUGGUUUAAUUCGAUGCAACGCGAAGAACCUUACCUGGUCUUGACAUCCACGGAAGUUU